Molecule: long non-coding RNA, 13290 nt
Filed under: Lathyrus oleraceus (garden pea)
Lineage: Eukaryota; Viridiplantae; Streptophyta; Magnoliopsida; Fabales; Fabaceae
Description: Pisum sativum (pea) long non-coding RNA (PSAT_LNC004318)
Source: RNAcentral
GGAACAAGUGAAGGUUUUGUUCGUUGUAGGUGGUUUCCGGCGAUGGUGGUUGCGAAGCGGAAGGAGUUCGCCGGCCGAACGGUGUUGUUGUCGUUGGAAGCUUCUCACAGCGAAUGGUUAUGAGCGGUGCGGUUAGAGUGGAUCAAGGUUUAUGGAGAGAAAGGUUUAUCGAAGGAUGUGGUGUGGGUUUCCGCGACGUGGAAGGCGGAGAGGAAGAAGGAGAAGGUUGGGUUUUGGCGGUGUAGAAAGGGUGUACGUUUGGGAUUUCGCAGCGACGAGAUGAAGAGUAAAGGGGUUGUGCGUUAGUUCAAAGAAGACACGUGGUGAUGGGUAUUGUGAAGAAGAAAAGGAACAAUCUAUUUUUUCUUUUCUUUAUUUUUUUUGUUUAUGCUCAACAGAGAGAGAGUUCUAAAGGAGAGUAUUGCUUUUUUUAAGAGUUUUUUCUUUCUUUGUUUUCUAGUGACCAGAGAGAGCCGUAGAGAGAUAAUGGAGACCGUCGGGGUGGCUACCUGUCAUCCGUUGAUUUGGGGAUUUUUCCUUCUUUUUAGCAAAAAAUCCCAUGAGAUAAGAAUGGAUAAUUUGUUAGUUGUCCGCCUCACAGCUGGCACCGAGUGUAUGGAAGGAGUGGUAUUUUCAUUUUGACAUUCUUUAUUAUUAGUAACUUAAUUAAUAUUUAAUUUUUGAUUGGAUAACAAUAUGUACAUGGAUUGCAAACUUAGAUCUUGAUUAAUUUAAAUCAAUGGUCAAGAUUGAAUCAAAGAAACACAAAUAAUUCAAAAUAUCUACCGUGCCCUUCUAGAUGAUUUAAUUGAUUCAAAACAAAUUUAAAUCAACCAAAUCAAAUAAAAUUCAACUUUCUAAAUACCUAUGAUAAAAAUAAAAUGAGAACAUGGAAAUUUAUAUUUAUUUCUUUUGAACAUUUUGGUGAAGAAUAAAAAUAAAAUGACUGGAAAUGAAUAAAAGUCUGGCAAAAAUUUGCUCAAAAAAUUAAAUCGGAUGCACUAAAAUGAUCAGCACGAAAUAUACUUAUUGAAAAAAUACAGCGUUUCUUUAAAUUCUAAAAUAAAUUUUCACCGGUUAAAAGGCUUAAACGGAUUAAAUUGCAGCUGAAAAAGUCGUUAAAAAAUAUAACAAGCAUAACAGGUUGAACUACGCGAACUGUAGAUUAAUAAUACUGGCGUCUGCAAGUUUAAUUUCGAAACCUUUUAUCCGCUGAUUUUACACGUACUCGAGGAAUGAUUUAACCAAAAUUGUAUGUAUUUUCAAGAAUCUAUUCCGACUGAUAUUUUAGAUAUUAUUAAUGAUGAAAUACAUGUUAUGUUGUACAACUGAUGCAAAUUGAAAUAAAAAUUGAAUUUAUGAAAUUUUUAAAAUGCCCGGACAAAAUUGGGGUAUGACAGCUGCCCCUAUUUAAUUAACUUGAACUAGAAGGUAAGAAUGAAAGCAGUCUGCAUACAUUCAUGGUGGACGAUAAUUAAAUAUGAAAAGACUCGGAUUUUGCCCUUUGAAAUUCAAGGAAGAAAUGCAGAAAAAUGCAGUGAGAAAUGCGGUGAGAAAAGUUUAUUAGAAUGUGAAAUGAAACAAUCAAGGCUCUCCGGGAAUUAUCAGAACAGUAUCUUGGAUGUCACAAUCGAGAUAUUCCAAUAAUGGAAUGAUACCUCAACUGUAUGUAAGAUUUUCUGAAAAUCAGCAGAACAACGUCUUGAUUUGAAUGCAAGAGAUUCUUUGGGGUCAAUGGAAAAACAUCUUAUAUGAUAGAAUUAAGAUAUUCCGAACAAGGGAAUGAUACCUUAAUUAAAUCUAAGACUUUUUGAGGAUUAGCAGAACAUUGUCUCUAAAAAUGAAUGAUACUCUUCAUAUUAAUGAAGCAGCAUCCCAAACAGCAAAAUGAGACUCUCUGUAUCGAAUCGAAGCAGCAUCUUAUAUGAUAGAAUUAAGAUAUUCCGAACAAGGGAAUAAUACCUUAAUUGAAUCUAAGACUCUUAAAGGAUACUAGAGCCGUAUCUCUAAAAAAUCUGGAAUGAGACUCUUCAUAUUGAUGAAGCAGCAUCUCAAACAACAAAAUGAGAUUCUCUGUAUCGAAUCGAAGUAGCAUCUUAUAUGAUAGAAUUAAGAUGUUCCAGUCAAAAGGAAUGAUAUAUUAAUUGAAUCUAAUACUCUUCAAGGAUACUAGAGUCGUAUCUCUAAAAAUGAAUGAAACGCUUCAUAUUGAUGAGGCAGCGUCUCAAACAGUAACAUGAGAUUCUCUAGAUCGAAUCGAAGCAGCAUCUUAUAUGAUACAAUUAAGAUAUUCCGAACAAGGGAAUGAUACCUUAAUUAAAUCUAAGACUCUUCAAGGAUACUAGAGUAGUAUCUCUAAAAAAUUUGGAAUGAGACUCUUCAUAUUGAUGAAGCAGCAUCUCCAACAGCAAAAUAAGAUUCUUUGUAUCGAAUCAAAGCAGCAUCUUAUAUGAUAGAAUUAAGAUAUUCCAGUCAAAAGAAUGACAGCUUAAUUGAAUAUUCAAGGAUACUAGAGCAGUAUCUUUAAAAAUGAAUGAGACUCUUCAUAUUGAUGAAACAACAUCUCAAACAGCAAAAUCAGAUUCUCUGUAUCGAAUCGAAGCAGCAUAAUGAUAAAAUUAAGGUAUUCCAAAUAAAGGAAUGAUACCUUAAUUGAAUCUAAGACUCUUCAAGGAUACUAGAGAAGUAUGUCUAAAAAUGAAUGAGACUCUUCAUAUUGAUGAAACAACAUCUCAAACAGCAAAAUGAGAUUCUCUAUAUCGAAUCGAAGCAGCAUCUUAUAUGAUAUAAUUAAGAUAUUCCGAACAAGGGAAUGAUACUUUAAUUGAAUCUAAGACUCUUCAAGGAUACUAGAGAAGUAUCUCUAAAAAAUAUGGAAUGAGACUCUUCAUAUAGCAGCAUCUCAAACAGCAAAAAUGAGAUUCUCUAUAUCGAGUCGAAGCAGCAUCUUAUCUGAUAGAAUUAAGAUAUUCCAGAAUAAAGGAAUUAUGUCUUAAUUGAAUCUAAGACUCUUCGAGGAUACUAGAGCAGUAUCUCUAAAAAAAUCUGGAAUGAGACUCUUCAUAUUGAUGAAGCAGCAUCUCAAACAACAAAAAGGAGAUUCUCUGUAUCGAGUCGAAACAGCAUCUUAUCUGAUAGAAUUAAGAUAUUCCAUACCAAAGGAAUGAUGUCUUAAUUGAAUCUAAUACUCUUCGAGGAUACUAGAGCAGUAUCUCUUUAAAAAAUCUGGAAUGAGACUCUUCAUAUUGAUGAAGCAGCAUCUCAAACAGCAAAAAUGAGAUUCUCUGUAUCGAGUCGAAGCAGCAUCUUAUCUGAUAGAAUUAAGAUAUUCUAGACCAAAGGAAUGAUACCUUAAUUGAAUCUAAGACUCUUCACGGAUACUAGAGUAGUAUCUCUAAAAAAUGAAUGAGACUCUUCAUACUAAUGAAGCAACAUCUCAAACAGAUAAAUGAGAUUCUUCAAAUACAUGAAGCAGUAUCUCACUGUUCGUCUGUUGGGGAAAAUAUUUUAGAAAAGACUCCCUUUGGAGGAAGUUUACUAGAAAUGCUCUGCAGGGGAAAAGCUCAUAAGAGACUUUUUAGAGUAACCUCUGCUUAUAGAGCAAUAAUAGCAAAGAUGCUAGGGGAAUAUCAUUAUUAAUUAUAAAAUUGAAAAAGUGGCUUGCCGGGAAAUGAUUCCACGAGCGCAUGCAGGGUAAUAACUUUAUUUGGAAAUGUGGAAUGUCUAAGAUAUACAUGAAUGACCUUGGAUCCUGAUAUUUUAUGUUUGAUUUUUUGUACGAUGUUCCACUUUGGGUGGAAAUACCAUGCAUGGGAGGAUGCAUGAGAUGCACGCAAUAUGCAAUGGUUGGGGAUAUUUAGGAUGUGCAUGUAGGAAUGCGAAUGAUUUUGUUCGUUCUUUGAUGAAAUUCCCAUUUUGUGGGAGUGUUAUGCAUGAGUAUGUUGAUGAUUGAUAUGACGGUAUUUUUUUUUAAUUUUCUGUUUGGUAGGAAAACCAUUUAUGAAUGAUUCAUAUGAUGCAUGUUAGAAUGCAAAUGGGUAACUGGAUAUUUUUUGUAGGAUUUUUAUUUUGUUUCCAAUGAGAUAUUGUUGGGGAAUAUCAUCAUCAAAGGGUUGAUGGAAAAUAAUUUGUCAUCGUCAAAGGGUUGACGGGAAGAAGUAAAGGAUGGCAUCACUAAAGGGUUGGUGGAAAAGGAAUUAUAUGUAGUAUCAUCGUCAAAGGGUUGACAGAAAGAAACUUCACUAUGGAGUGGCAUCAUCAAAGGGUUGAUGGGAAUGUAUUUGUCAUCGUCAAAGGGUUGACAGAAAAAGAUUGUCAUCAUCAGAGGGCUGAUGGAAAAGAAAUUAUAUAUGUAAUAUCAUCGUCAAAGGGUUGACGGAAUAUAAUUGUCAUCAUCAGAGUGCUGAUGGAAAAGAGUUUGCCAUCGUCAAAGGGUUGAUGGAAAGAAAAAGUCAGGUUAUGUCCUCAUCAAAGGGUUGAUGGGAAGGAUUUAUUAUGUUAUGUAUGCGUAUGAUGCAUGUUAAAGAGAAUUUCUCAGUUUUGUGAGAGAGAUUUUUGAUAUGCAACUUCCUUAUUUGGAAGGAAAGUCAUGUGUGUUUAUUGUAUGCAGUGCAUGUUGUAAUGCAAGAUGAAUGUUAACUGUCUUCAGAUCGAUCUCCCUUUUUGAAGGUGAGACUUUCUGAGUACCAAUGUUGAUUGGACUUGAGUUUAUGAAGAUGCCAGCAAAGUGGACUUUUUAUUUUUGGUAGUUGCCAAUAUGGAUUGGACUUUUGGUUGGAGAUGCCAAUAGAGAUUGGACUUUGGUUUUGGAGAUGCCAAUAGGGAUUGGACUUUGGUUUUGGAGAUGCCAAUAUGGAUUGGACUUUGGUUGGAGAAAGGUUUUGACUUCCCGACACUCGAUCUUUUAACGAUGUAAUGAUUGCAGGAUAAAUAUGGACGCUCUUGAUGCCCCAAGUUUGAUCCUUCACUCAUAGACUGUGUGUUUCUUCUUGAGGGAAACUCCACUUCUUUGUCUGGUAUGCCUUGAUGGCUUGCAAAUGAGCGUAGCGACGUAAUCAAUGCAUGAUGAUUGUGUUUUUUCUCUACCCCAAGGCUCUUUGCAACUUUUAUGUCCCGGCUUGUAGGGUCUUUUAAGGAAUUCACCUUUUGAAAGGAAACCCUGGGAAUAGUUAUACCAUGGCUUAAACCAAUUCUUCCCCAGCGUAUGAAUCUUUCAGUAGUUUGCCCCUGAUUGAGAUUUUGAAAGGCUUCCCCCGGAUUGACUGAAUAUUUUGAAAUUAUUUGCCUCUUUGAUCCACUAAUGCUUGGGGAUUUUUUGACUGACCAAUUCAUAAUCAUUGGAUACCAUGCUCCUAAUCCAUAGGGUUAGGAAGUAGUCUUGAUUUGGGUCAGCAUUGACGAAUGAUCAAGUCCUUCUCUGAUUGCUUAUUUGAGGUUUCCUUGAUGUCAAGUACUUACUUGUAGUUAAAAUUGUUCAUUUAAUCAAUGGUAAUUUUAAUGUGACAUUCAUGCAGGUUUGAAAAAUCAUUUAUUGAGGUGAUGUGAUAGUGUCUGACGAAUAAACCAUUAGUUCUAAUGCAUUGCUGAUUUAGCUAGUGUGUGAAAGAUACAGCGAGAAUAUGAUGCCAAUAUAGGUGACUAGCAAACAUUUAGGAGUCAGUUCACGCAACCUUGUUGUAGUAUGCUUUUAGAAUAAACCCUACCUCAAUUAGGUCUUUUAAGGGUUGUAACGUGGCUUGGUUCAUGGUUAUUGAAACAAAGGAUGUAAGGCUCAAGAUUGUUUUAACCCACUCCUUCUUCAUGAUGAUCUCCAACCCUACGCUCAAUUAAUUCAACAUACACAUUCAUCCUUUUGAAGGUGCAAGGAUAAAGAUGGUAAUUCAAGGUCUCUUACAAUGGCAGCCACCAAAUUUCGUUUUUGGAUAUCGAUGAUCCCUUUGAUUUUGGUAUGGUGGUCACUGAAUUUUGUUUUGCUUUUGCUGAGGCUUCUCGUGACCUCUUUUGAUUUUUGUCUUGAUCCCUAACUUUUGCCUGGACCACUUUUUAAAACUUUUAGUCCACCGGGAUUACCCCUGUUUUUGCCUGAGUCACCCUUUUGAGGUAUUCGACUUAGCGAGCUCUUUCUUUGAUUUUUUGGAAAAUUAUGACUACCAAGUCAUUGGUCAUUGAAGAACAAUCGACAUAACUUUAGGACUUUGAAUGGUUCUUCGACACUUUAGGACGUAAUAUAAAGAACAUCAUGUGGUUGAUCCACAGACGGGAUGUAUUAUCUUGUAAUUUGAAUGUGUAGUCAGAUUAACUGAACACUACCCUGCCCCAGGUUAAAUGUAAGGGUUUGUAGAUCCGAAAGAAACUCUUACUUCUAGGCUCGAAGCGGUUGACUAGGGAUUAACUCCUUAUCUCUCCAGUGUUUGGGGAUUUGAAACAAUGCAUGUAUAUCAUCAGUAGGAUUUUAUCCAAAAGCAUACAAACAACAAUUAUGAGUAUUUUGUUUUCUUCAUCCUCCCUUCAAUCUUUGCUAAAAUAACAAUUUGAUAAGUGGAUGGGAGUAAUAUUUUUAUAUAUUUUUUUUUAUAUAAGUGGAAAAGAUGAGUGAAUACGAAAGGAUUCGUUCAAAACAUGCAUAAUGAUUUCAUUAAUAUUACCAUUAAAGGAAAGCAACAAUACUUGAAAGCAGAUAAGUACUUUAACAUGCAAAGAAAAAAAACACAUGAAAUACUAGAAAUAUCCAAAUGGUUUCCAGUGCCGAGGAAGCUUUCUCGUGUCUGGUUCACUGCUGGGCUAGCCUUCUUCAGCAUAGUGGUAGUUCUGCUCAUCGAAACUCAUAUGAUAAUCAUUUUCAGACCUACUCUCGGAAAUCUCUUCCAUUGUUUGGACUGAUGGACCCGCACAACUAGGUGAAGGAGUACUACUAAUUUUCAAGCUUCAAGGCGCAAAUGAGAACAUCUUGGAUUCAAGCAGGGUUUGUACUUUACUCUUGAGCACCUUACAGUCAUCAGUUGAAUGCCCAUGUGCCCCAGCAUGGAAUUCACAUCGGACGUUGGCAUCAAAACCUAAUGGAUAUGGAGGACUUACUGGUUUUAGCUCCUUUGACAUUAUCAGUCCUCUCUCAAUCAAAUACGGAAGUACUUGACUGUAUGGCAUUAGAAGCAGGUCGAUGUAUCUCUCUGGCUUCCUUCACCUUUGUUGAGCAAGCAGGCGAUGUUGAUGCAGAGUAUUCUAGCGCUUGUCUGGUUACUAAGAUGGAAUCUGUCAUUGGUACUGAGGAGAUCCUUGAUUUGCAGGAUGAUGACCAUAAGGAGAGGAUGAUCUCUGAUAUGGAGCUUGUGAGAUUUCCCAGACUGCAUUAAUUUCAGCCUCUUCUUCCUUUUGGGAACUAACAAUAGAUUCAUUUUCAAGGCCCUGGCUAUUUGAGGCGCAUUGGAUUCUUCCCCUUUUAAGGCCAUACUCGAUGCGUUCUCCGAUUGAUACCAAAUGAGUGAAGUCUGACGAUGCACUGCUAAUCAUCCUUUCGAAGUAAGGACUUUGCAAGGUAUCUCAGAAUAAUUCCAUCAAUUCCUUGUUUAAGAGAGGUGGUUCAACACAAGCCGCUAACUCCCUCCAUCCUUGGGCAUACCCUCUGAAGGAUUCGUUGUCUUCCUGAGAUAAGGCUCUUAGUUGCAUGCGGUCGGGAGCUAUGUCCAUAUUAUAUUUGUAUUGCUUCAAGAAUGCGUUAGCUAGGUCCAACCAUGAUUGAACAUGAUUCCUUUCUAACUUCAUGUACCAAGUUAAUGAUGCCCCAGUCAAACUGUCCUGGAAAUAGUGAAUCAUCAACUUAUCAUCGUGGGCAUGAGAGGUUAUUUUUCGACAAAACAUCACCAAAUGGUGCUUUGGACAACCAUCCUUUUUGUACUUCUCAAAUUCCGGUGCUUUGAAUUUUGCGGGUAUAACUAGGUCAGAUACCAAACACAUGUCUAAGGAAUUCAGUCCAACAGUAUCUUGUCCUUCUAUGGCCUUGAGUCUUUUCUCUAGCAUGUGACACCUUUUAGCAAUCUCAUCAUCUUGUGGUUGUUCAGUAUUAACCACUAGGAUUGUUCCAUGAGAAUCUGGCACGAAGAAUGCAAAGUUGUGAUACUCAACAACAUCAUGAUGUGAGGGACCCCCAUCUUGAAUGAUAUGACGUUCUUGUACCACAAAGUUAUCAACUGGGGUUCGCAUUGAUUGAGGUUGGGUAGGACCAUUUACUGGAGCUGGCAUAACAUUCUCAACCGCUGUAGUCUGCUGAAUGUUAUCCUCUCUCUUUGCUAAAGCUAUCAUAGCCUCCACAAGUUGGUCUAUCUGGUUUUUCAUCGAAUCCACAUCUCCUCUCAGUGCAAUAUGGCUUUGCUCCAACGGAUUCAUGAUCUUUCGAGAGCUACUUCAAGUCCGAUAUGAGUGUCGGGAAAUCAACUGCAGGUUAUGGAUGAAGGAUAAAUGAGUUUUUUUGUAUAUAUUUUUUGUGAAAAAUGAUAUGCGAUGCAUGUGUAUGAAUGUAGUGACAUGUUUAGGAUUACAGGUUCAAAGUUUUCUCAGAGGAAUCAGAAUAACGGGUAAAUGACGGGUAUCUCUGAUUAAUGUAACCCCAUGGGUAAGCUCUACAGUUGGCAGGUUCCUAGAGUCACAGAUAUUUCUUGAGGACGUCACUGCCGUGACGAAGACUCGUCGGAAAAUAAUAUCCUUAAAAAGAUCUCGUCUAGGUGAGGUCUUCAUAUUAUCCCAACAAGGAAGGCUCCUUGGGGAUUCUACUAUACAACUCUCGAGUCCAAGGUUCUAACAAGGUUCUCAGAGUCAUAGAUCGAGGUUGGAAAUAUUACUGUAAGAUAGUAAUACGAGGUUCCCUAGAGUAGACUAACCCCGAAAGCAUAAUUGGGUUGUUGUCUGAAACUUCGUAGGUUAAUACUACAUAACCGCCAGAUAUAGUGGGUUAAAAGGUCCCUAGAGUCAUUGAUCCAACUUGAAAAUACUAUCGUCGUGACGAAGACUCGUCGGACAAUACUAUCUCAAGAGAAUCUCCUCUAGGCGGGGUCUUCGUAUCGCCCCAACAAGGAAGACUCCUUGUAGGCGUCCACUACACAACCACCAUCUUAAUCCUAUGGUUUUUCUCAGACUCGGGUAGAGAGCCUAUCUCAUAGAGCACCAUUAACUAGAGAGCCCCAGAUAAGACAUAGUCAACAAAUCACAAUACAAUAAUUAUGAUAGAAUAAUAACAAAAUAAAGAUAACAAACAAACAAGUUUAACACUCAAUACAUGAAUUAAAAUUAGUUAGGAUUCACUCUCUCUUGCUUGAAGUUGAUUUCCCCAGCAUAGUUGCCAUCUGUCGCAUCUCGAAAAAUGUGAUUCCUCGCGAUGGUCGUAGAAAAAAUUAUGUUCGAACAGAGUCGCCACUGAACUUUAUUUAUUCCAAUGAAGGAAUAGGAAAAUAUCGAUAAAACCUUUUAAAAAUGGAAUAAUGGUCGUCGCAACCAUAUUCGGGUUUGGGAGUCGAUUACGCAAGGGGAAUGUAUUAGCACCCCUCACGUCCGUUGUACUCAACGGGAACCUUUUAGUUUAAUUUGCGAUUUGAAUGUUAACUUAUGUUGUUUGUUUUCUUCGAGUGAUAAUAAAAUUGAAUAUAGAUGGAUAGGAACCUCAGAAGGGAGAAAAGGGAGGUUCUUUAUUAGUGUGCUCGCCAAGAUCUCGCAAUCUCGUGCCUACGUAUCGUUACGGUGCAAUAAGGAAAUCAGAGCAUUCGUAGUUCCGGGAACUACGGUUGGUUGGUGUAUUUUACCGAACAGUUGUUUAGAUCGCGUUCUAAAGGCUAAACGUUGGCUUGUCUACUCUCGGCGGAGGCUUAAGCACUAGUUUGUUAUGCGCAUUAGAAAGGAUUAAACAAUGUUCUUUCUAAAAAGUGUUUUGGUCACACGGGGGUGACAAGUUGAGUUAAUAUGUUUGAUGUGUUGUAUGGUUGGUUUCGAUCGCACGGGGGCGGGGCGAGGAUAGAUAGAUUUGAUGUGUUAAGAUAUUUUUAGUUGGAUGACGAUUACUCGGAUAAUCGAGUAGGACAACUCGUAUCCUAAUAGACGAGGAGAGGAAUCGAAGGCUCUAAACCAUCUCCUUUUUUAUCCUUAAUUUGUAAAAGGAGUUUGAUAAUAGUUAAGGUGCUUUAAAUGGAUGAUGAUUACUCUGACAGUCGAGUAAGACAACUCGUAUCCUAAUAAUCGGAAAAGGGAAUUGAAGACUCUAGACCACUUUCUUUUUCAUCCGAGUGUUUAUGAAAAUAGGUUUACGUAUGGUUGAUAUGUUUUAAGGUAAACGACAAAUAUUCGAAUGACUAAGUAAGAGAACUCAUAUCCAAACAUUUUAGGAGAGGAAUCGAAAACUCUAGACCAUCUCCCUUUUUGUAUAGUUUAUUAUGAGAAUGCUUGAUUGAGUUAUAAGUUUGUGGAAAAACGACAAUUGUUGGACUAACCGAGUAAGAGAACUCGUAUUCAAACAAUUGAAGAGAGAAGUUGAAGGCUCAAAGUCAUCUCCCUUUUCAUUUAACUUAUUAUAAGAGUAUUUUGAUUUAAUAGGGUUUAGAAAUUUGUAGAGAAACGACAGUUGUCUAACUGACCGAGUAAGAGAACUCGUAUUCAAACAUUUGGGGAGAGGAGUUGAAGGCUCAAAACCAUCCCCCUUUUCAUUUAGUUAUUAUGAAAAUAAUUUGAUUUCAGUAAGCUUAGGCGAGUUAGAAAUGACAAUUAUUUGACUAACCGAGUAAGAGAACUCGUAUUCAAAUAAUCGAGGAGAGGAGUUGAAAACUCAAAACCAUCCCCCUUUUCAUUUCUAAACAGAAUAAUAUUUAAUCGUGGUUUAGGUAUUUCAAUUAGCUUGAAUAAAAAUACUCGAUAUGGGAUCGAGAUUUUAAAUUUGUAUUUAUGGAUAAAUUGGAUCAUUUUGGUGUAUCAAUCAUCUACUCGAUUAAUUAAUAACCGAAUAGGUCUCAUUGUAAGAAAGCCCAAGAGUAAGCUAUGUGAGGUUGAUGGCGAUGCUUUAAAAGCAAUCGGCUUACAAAUGCAUUUAGAAAUGGGCUUGAUAUUAAAUGGAGAAUUGUGUGAUUUUUAAUGAUUAUGAGUCGAGGAUGAAAUGGUUUUGAAAUGAUGUGAAGUUGAAUAGAAUCGGGCAUGUAUCAUGAUAGUGAAACAAAUCGGUCCAUUUUUAAUUAACAAAAUUAAUUGAUUAAUCAAAUUAAUUAAGAUUAAUUAUCAGAAUUAUUUAAUUGGAUCAAAUAAUCAAGCUAAUUAAAAUUAAUUAAUCGUAAUUAAACUAUUUAAGCAAAACUUUAAUUAAUUAAUCAAUUUAAUUAGAAGAGAAAGAAAAUAAGUGAUAAUAUUGAUUUAAUCGGUAUGAGUUGAUGAAGAUGUGCUCGGAAUCGGUUUGCGCGUGAUGACAACAUGAUUAAUGUCAUACGCAAAUUCAAAACGCGGUGAAAAUAUUCUAUUGAUAUAUCUGGAAUUUAGCGGCCUAUCGGCAUGAAAUUGCCGAAUUCGUGGAUUAAAAGAAUCUGAUUUAAAACACAAGUGAAGUAACAUAGCAAUAACUACACAAUAUUUAUAUAUUUACAAUACUCGUGUUGGCGACGGCUUCCAAAUUCAACACUCAUGUUGGUAUCCAAUUAAACUGAAAACUCAAUAUGUAAAAAAUAAAUGGAGGCAUGUGGCAAUAGGCUUAUAGUCCAAUGAAAAAAAAAUCAAACAAGGUUUUAAUGUCCCUUAGAGAGUCUUAUUAUAUAAUUUUAUUUACUAUAUAAUAUUCCUCGUGGAUAAAAAAUAUUAUGAUGUAUUUAACUUUUCACAUUAAUUCACUGAUACAUAGCCUUAUGUACAUAGAAAACAAAGCAACCUACAAGCCCAAAUAGUAUGACGCCAUGCUCUAAUCAACCAGGUUCAUCCUAAUUUGGAUAGCAAAGCAAAAAUGACAAAUAAAAGUAAUAAAAUGGGUGCACAUAACAAGCAGGGUAUAUGUAAAUUAGAGUUGCUUGAGGUUGUAAAAAAAUUCAGCCCAAAUGACUUCUAAAUCCCAAAUAGAUUAGUAGGGAUGAAAUAAUAAUAAUAAAAUUAAUUAAGACUUAUGAUGUUCCAGAAUAAUAACAAAGAAAAACACUAAAAUCCACUCCCUCUGAUUUGUAACAUCCCUCUGCUAUUUCAUUUGAGAACAAACAUGACCAUCAAUAAUAUAUAUAAAAAAUAAAAUAAAAUCUAAUGCUCAGGGAUUACCAACAGCAAACACAAUGAUGAAAAAUAACGGUGCGGUGAACUCCGACGUGCGUCAACAGCAGGCAUCAAACCAAUAGAUCCAAACAUGAUUUGAAGAUUACCAACGCCUUGUCAACACGGUGUUGUCGACAUCAUGAAUCCAUGGUUACAUUUGGUUUCAUCAUUUAAAACGACGUCAUCUGGGUUUCAACAUUUCUUCUUCAACCUUCGGAUCUUCUCAACGAGUUCAUUCUCUUCAAAAUCGAGUUGAAGUUUGAGCUUGGCUUGGUUAUUUGAUUGAGUUGCGUCUGGUGACUUAAGGUUGAUGCGGUGGUGUUUGUUGGGCGCGCGAUGGAUGCGCGUGACGGAAGGAAGAAGAGAUGGAACAAGUGAAGGUUUUGUUCGUUGUAGGUGGUUGUCGGCGAUGGUGGUUGCGAAGCGGAGGGAGUUCGCUGGCGGAACGGUGUUGUUGUCGUUGGAAGCUUCUCAUAGCGAAUGGUUGUGAGCGGUGCGGUUGGAGUAGAUCAAGGUUUAUGGAGAGAAAGGUUUAUCAAAGGAUGUGGUGUGGGUUCGGGUGGCGUGGAAGGCGGAGAGGGAGAAGGAGAAGGUUGGGUUUUGGCGUGCAGAAAGGGUGUACGUUUGGGAUUUUGUGACGAUGAGAUGAAGAGUAAAGGGGUUGUGCGUUAGUUAAAAGAAGACGCGUGGUGAUGGGUGUUGUGAAGAAGAAAAGGAACGAUCUCUUUUUUCUUUUCUUUAUGUUUUGUUCUUUUUAUGCUCAACAGAGAGAGAGUUCUUAAAGAGAGUAUUGUUUUUUUAAAGAGUUUUUUCUUUCUUUGUUUUCUAGUGACCAGAGAGAGCCGUUGAGAGAUAAUGGAGACCGUUGGGGUGGCUACCUGUCAUCUGUUGAUUUGGGGAUUUUUUCUUCUUUUUAGCAAAAAAUCCCAUGAGAUAAGAAUUGAUAAUUUGUUAGUUGUCCGCCUCACAGCUGGCACCGAGUGUAUGGAAGGAGUGGUAUUUUCAUUUUGACAUUUUUUAUUAUUAGUAACUUAAUUAAUAUUU